UCUGUAAUCUCUUGGUAUGUAUUCGAAUUUAUACCGAAGUAGGGGACCAGCUCUAUCAAUCAAAAACCAAACUUCAUUGUUGACAAAUACUUAGGCUCUCUCUAGGUAAAAGAAUCAUCAUAUCUUUUAGUGUUAAAGACAGCUACUACAAACUAAAAGAUAUGAUGAUUCUUUUACCUAGAGAGAGCCUAAGUAUUUGUCAACAAUGAAGUUUGGUU
Molecule: non-coding RNA, 218 nt
Organism: Brassica rapa (field mustard)
Lineage: Eukaryota; Viridiplantae; Streptophyta; Magnoliopsida; Brassicales; Brassicaceae
Source: RefSeq, marked provisional